Molecule: transfer RNA, 84 nt
Filed under: bacterium
Lineage: Bacteria
Also listed under: 3 other names
Description: tRNA-Leu
Rfam family: tRNA
About the family: Transfer RNA (tRNA) molecules are approximately 80 nucleotides in length. Their secondary structure includes four short double-helical elements and three loops (D, anti-codon, and T loops).
Source: RNAcentral
GCCCAGGUGGCGGAAUUGGUAGACGCGUUGGUCUCAAACACCAAUGAUAGCAAUAUCGUGCCGGUUCGAGCCCGGCCCUGGGUA